UACAGAGGGUGCAAGCGUUAAUCGGAAUCACUGGGCGUAAAGGGUGCGUAGGCGGGUCUUUAAGUCAGGGGUGAAAUCCUGGAGCUCAACUCCAGAACUGCCUUUGAUACUGAAGAUCUUGAGUCCGGGAGAGGUGAGUGGAACUGCGAGUGUAGAGGUGAAAUUCGUAGAUAUUCGCAAGAACACCAGUGGCGAAGGCGGCUCACUGGCCCGGUACUGACGCUGAGGCACGAAAGCGUGGGGAGCAAACAGG
Molecule: ribosomal RNA, 253 nt
Filed under: uncultured bacterium
Lineage: Bacteria
Description: partial 16S ribosomal RNA
Rfam family: Bacterial small subunit ribosomal RNA
Source: RNAcentral